GAAUUCGCCCUUAGAGUUUGAUCCUGGCUCAGGACGAACGCUGGCGGCGCGCCUAACACAUGCAAGUCGAACGAGCGAGAGAGAGCUUGCUUUCUCGAGCGAGUGGCGAACGGGUGAGUAACGCGUGAGGAACCUGCCUCAAAGAGGGGGACAACAGUUGGAAACGACUGCUAAUACCGCAUAAGCCCACGGCUCGGCAUCGAGCAGAGGGAAAAGGAGCAAUCCGCUUUGAGAUGGCCUCGCGUCCGAUUAGCUAGUUGGUGAGGUAAUGGCCCACCAAGGCGACGAUCGGUAGCCGGACUGAGAGGUUGAACGGCCACAUUGGGACUGAGACACGGCCCAGACUCCUACGGGAGGCAGCAGUGGGGAAUAUUGCACAAUGGGGGAAACCCUGAUGCAGCGACGCCGCGUGGAGGAAGAAGGUCUUCGGAUUGUAAACUCCUGUUGUUGAGGAAGAUAAUGACGGUACUCAACAAGGAAGUGACGGCUAACUACGUGCCAGCAGCCGCGGUAAAACGUAGGUCACAAGCGUUGUCCGGAAUUACUGGGUGUAAAGGGAGCGCAGGCGGGAAGACAAGUUGGAAGUGAAAUCCAUGGGCUCAACCCAUGAACUACUUUCAAAACUGUUUUUCUUGAGUAGUGCAGAGGUAGGCGGGAAUUCCCGGUGUAGCGGGGGAAUGCGUAGAUAUCGGGAGGAACACCAGUGGCGAAGGCGGCCUACUGGGCACCAACUGACGCUGAGGCUCGAAAGUGUGGGUAGCAAACAGGAUUAGAUACCCUGGUAGUCCACACUGUAAACGAUGAUUACUAGGUGUUGGAGGAUUGACCCCUUCAGUGCCGCAGUUAACACAAUAAGUAAUCCACCUGGGGAGUACGACCGCAAGGUUGAAACUCAAAGGAAUUGACGGGGGCCCGCACAAGCAGUGGAGUAUGUGGUUUAAUUCGACGCAACGCGAAGAACCUUACCAAGUCUUGACAUCCUGCGACGGUUCUGGAAACAGAACUUUCCUUCGGGACGCAGAGACAGGUGGUGCAUGGUUGUCGUCAGCUCGUGUCGUGAGAUGUUGGGUUAAGUCCCGCAACGAGCGCAACCCUUAUGGUCAGUUACUACGCAAGAGGACUCUGGCCAGACUGCCGUUGACAAAACGGAGGAAGGUGGGGAUGACGUCAAAUCAUCAUGCCCUUUAUGACUUGGGCUACACACGUACUACAAUGGCGUUAAACAAAGAGAAGCAAGACCGCGAGGUGGAGCAAAACUCAGAAACAACGUCCCAGUUCGGACUGCAGGCUGCAACUCGCCUGCACGAAGUCGGAAUUGCUAGUAAUCGCAGAUCAGCAUGCUGCGGUGAAUACGUUCCCGGGCCUUGCACACACCGCCCGUCA
This 1383-nucleotide ribosomal RNA is filed under the name uncultured bacterium. RNAcentral's name for it is "bacterial SSU rRNA". It matches the Rfam family "Bacterial small subunit ribosomal RNA". The record is from RNAcentral.